GAUGAACGCUGGCGGCGUGCCUAAUACAUGCAAGUCGAGCAAACGGACGAGAAGCUUGCUUCUCUGAUGUUAGCGGCGGACGGGUGAGUAACACGUGGAUAACCUACCUAUAAGACUGGGAUAACUUCGGGAAACCGGAGCUAAUACCGGAUAAUAUUUUGAACCGCAUGGUUCAAAAGUAAAAGACGGUCUUGCUGUCACUUAUAGAUGGAUCCGCGCUGCAUUAGCUAGUUGGUAAGGUAACGGCUUACCAAGGCAACGAUGCAUAGCCGACCUGAGAGGGUGAUCGGCCACACUGGAACUGAGACACGGUCCAGACUCCUACGGGAGGCAGCAGUAGGGAAUCUUCCGCAAUGGGCGAAAGCCUGACGGAGCAACGCCGCGUGAGUGAUGAAGGUCUUCGGAUCGUAAAACUCUGUUAUUAGGGAAGAACAUAUGUGUAAGUAACUGUGCACAUCUUGACGGUACCUAAUCAGAAAGCCACGGCUAACUACGUG
This 497-nucleotide ribosomal RNA is filed under the name uncultured bacterium. RNAcentral's name for it is "partial 16S ribosomal RNA". It matches the Rfam family "Bacterial small subunit ribosomal RNA", at positions 28 to 507 of the family's 1533-position model. The record is from RNAcentral.